Molecule: ribosomal RNA, 317 nt
Filed under: uncultured bacterium
Lineage: Bacteria
Description: bacterial SSU rRNA
Rfam family: Bacterial small subunit ribosomal RNA
Source: RNAcentral
GAUAAACGCUGGCGGCGCACAUAAGACAUGCAAGUCGAACGAACUUAACUAAAAUAUUUAUAUUUUAGAGCGGUUAGUGGCGGACUGGUGAGUAACGCGUAAGCAAUCUACCUAUUAGAGGGGAAUAACAGUGAGAAAUCACUGCUAAUACCGCAUAUGCCAUGAGUAUCGCAUGAUACAAAUGGGAAAGGAGUAAUCCGCUAAUAGAUGAGCUUGCGUCUGAUUAACUAGUUGGCGUGGUAACGGCACACCAAGGUAACGAUCAGUAGCCGGACUGAGAGGUUGAACGGCCACAUUGGGACUGAGAUACGGCCCAG